RNAcentral lists this ribosomal RNA (433 nucleotides) under uncultured bacterium. Its description in RNAcentral is "partial 16S ribosomal RNA". It matches the Rfam family "Bacterial small subunit ribosomal RNA", at positions 29 to 507 of the family's 1533-position model. The record is from RNAcentral.
AACGAACGCUGGCGGCAGGCUUAACACAUGCAAGUCGAGCGCAUCCUUCGGGGUGAGCGGCGGACGGGUGAGUAACGCGUGGGAACGUGCCCUCUUCUACGGAAUAGCCUCGGGAAACUGAGAGUAAUGCCGUAUACGCCCGCAAGGGGAAAGAUUUAUCGGAGGAGGAUCGGCCCGCGUUGGAUUAGGUAGUUGGUGGGGUAACGGCCUACCAAGCCGACGAUCCAUAGCUGGUUUGAGAGGAUGAUCAGCCACACUGGGACUGAGACACGGCCCAGACUCCUACGGGAGGCAGCAGUGGGGAAUCUCGGAAAAUGGGGGCAACCCUGAUCCAGCCAUGCCGCGUGAUCGAUGAAGGCCUUAGGGUUGUAAAGAUCUUUCAGCUGGGAAGAUAAUGACGGUACCAGCAGAAGAAGCCCCGGCUAACUCCGUG